Long non-coding RNA from Macaca mulatta (Rhesus monkey), 5249 nucleotides. NCBI's taxonomy places the organism in Eukaryota, Metazoa, Chordata, Mammalia, Primates, Cercopithecidae. The record is from Ensembl.
UUAUUACCGGCGCGGGCGGGGCCACAGGCCGGAGGAGGCGGGGAGAGGCGGGGUCAAGGCUCGGAGCGCACGGCAAUUGGCCGGAGGCGAGAGAAGAGGCGGGGCGGAGCGAAAGGAGAUGCUUCUCCCUCUGCACCUCCACCAUCGCUUGCUCCACUGCCGUCUCUGGGGGGCUCAUCCCGCCGCAGUUUCUCUACCUCCAAUAGCUACGGGAAGGCGAUUAAGAGGUGCCGCGGAGUCUUUAAGGGCUUGAUAGGUUCAGGCCGGCGCCUCAGUCUGCAAGCGCGAAGUCCGAGCUCAGGGCGCAUACUGGAAAGCAGUACUCUGCCCUGUCCUGAACUGGGACUUGGAAAUAGAAGCAAGACGAGAAGCGUGCAUGCACACGUGUGCAAUACAUACAUGCACGGGCACAAGCACCCUCAGUUCAGCCUUUUCCAAAAGCACGGGGUCAGUUCCUACCUGCGUGGUGCAUGCUGCGCUACUGCGCUGGAACUAGGGAUGAUGGGCAGAAUGGCUCCCCCUGAAGUUUUUCAGCCUUCGUUCGGGCUCAUGAGCAUCACAAGCAGGAAGUACGUGACACUUUAGUUCGAGGUCAUUCAAUCCUAUCGUGAAUGAAGGGUUCCGUUGGGGCUUUAAGGUGGGCGGGCCCAGUCCUGAGGAUCCUCUUUGUUUUGAAUGUUUUUAUUUUGUUAUUCAUGGAUUUUUUUUGCAUUAAUUUUAAUUUAAAAAAAUAAAAAUGUUGUUUAUCUUGAUCACUUAGUUUUUUGGUGCUCCCUUAAAUAUUGUGCCUGAAGUGAGUACCUGUUGCAUUUAGCAACACAGAAGUCACCUUGGGGAGUACAGUUUAAGUGGAGGACAAAAGCCUGAUUGGAAUGGUAAUAAAACCUACUUAUUAGGCUAUUUGUGGGGGUUAACUAAGAUAGUAUGUGUGAAAGAGCUUCUUGAACUAGCGAGGUUAUGCGCCAAGUCUUAUGGAUUUUGUCUUAAAUGUAUUUUUCUUCAGAUGCUUGUCCAGUUUAUCAUUGUAUUAACUCCAGCACCUAACCCAGUUGGAUUUUCAUAUACAGCUAUUAUGAAUUUGCACAAAUUGGGUUUACAUGACCUUUACUGCUUUCCUUUGUUCCAGAUUCGUUCUGGGAGAUUGAGAGAUUAUAGCAUUGCAUUGUGACUUUGAAUGCAGACAGACCACUGUCACUUACUAGCUUUGUGGUCUUAAGAAAAUCGUGUGAAAUGGGAACAAAAACCUACCACAAAGGAUUGUUAUGAGGGUUAAAAGAUACUGCAUUUCUAUAUACCCAGUAAAUGCUGUAUGCCAACUCUCUGCCAGCCUGUGCUGUAGGUGCUGGAGAUAGCAUUAGGUAAGAGAGAUGAAGGCCCUCCUCUCAUUGACUUACACAGGGGAAGAGGGAGCAGAAACAAUAAACAGUAUACAUAUGCAACCUACCAGGCAGUGUACGUAAACAACAUAUUCACAGCACCUGGUAUGUAACAAAUGCGCAAUAAAUGAUUGUUUAUUUGCAUUAUUAUUUCCAACCCCAUCUUCUUUCCUGUGUUCCAGAGCAGGACAUUUACUGUGUGCUUAUCACAGCCACUCAAUAUGUCCAAGGCUCAUUUUCCCCCCAAACACAUUCUUCCUCCUAUAGUCCCAAUUUUGGCUAAUGGUGACACCAUGUUUCCAGUUAUUAAAACUAGAAACUCAAGCUUUAUUGAGAUUUAACACACAUAUCAUUACAACUCACCCAUUUUUAAAGAAUACAAUUUGCUGGGCGCAGUGACACAUGCCAGUGGUCCCAGCUACUCAGGAGGGUUAGCUGGGGGAAUUGAUUGAGUCCAGGAAUUCUGGGCAGUAAUGCACUGUACCCAUGGGUGUCCACGAGGAUGGGGGGGACCAUCAAGUUGCCUAAGGAAGAGGACUCUGCCCAAGUCCAAAACAGAGCAGAUCAAAACUCCUGUGCUGAUUAGUAAUGGGAUCAUGCCAUUGCACUCCAGCCUGGGAAACAUAGCAAGACUCUGUCUCCUAUUAAAGAAAAAACAAAAAGAAAAAUAAAAGAAAUUAUACAAUUCAGUGGUUUUUAGUAUAUUCACAGUGGUGCAGGUAUCACCACAAAUCAGUUUCAGAACAUUUUGUCACCCUAAAAAGAAACCUUGGCAGGGGGCAGUGGCUCAUGCCUGUAAUACCAGCAUUUUAGGAGGCCAAGGCAGGUGGAUCACUUGAGGUCAGGUGUUAGAGACCAGCCUGGUCAAUACAGUGAAACCCUGUCUCUACUAAAAAUACAAAAAUUAGCCAAGCUUGGUGGUGCACACCUGUAGUGGUGCACACCUACUUGGUGGUGCACAUCUGUAGGUGCUUGGGAGACUGAGGCAGGAGAAUCACUUGAACCCGGCAGGCAGAGGUCGCAGUGAGCCAAGAUCAUGCCACUGCACUCCAGCCUAGGUGACAGACCAAGACUCCAUCUCAAAAAAAAAAAAAGAAAAAAAAAGAAAGAAAGAAAAAAAGGAAAAACAAAACAAAAAAACAACCUUGUACCUUUUAGCAGUCACAUUCCCCUUUCCCCCAAUUCAUGUCCCACCUCCAUCCCUGGGUAACCAUUAAGCUACUAUGUGUCCCUUUAGUUUUGCAAGUGAUCCUUUGGCCUCAACCUCCUAAGUAGCUGGGUCUACAGGCGCAAACUACCAUGCCUGGCUAGUUUUGCCUAUUUUGGACAUUUCAUAAAUACGUAGUCAUAUAAUAUGUGGUCUUUUGAGACUGGCUACUUUCACUUAGUAUAAGGUUUUCAAAGUUCAUCGUGUUGUAGUAUGUAUCAGCACUUUAUUUCCUUUUAUUGCUGAAUAAUAUUUCACUGUAUUGAUAUUUAAUAUAGCACAUUUAUUCAUUAAUUUAUAGACAUUUUCCACUUUUUGCCCAUUAUGUGACUAGUGCUCCUAUUAAUAUUUUUAUCCAAGUUCUUACAGGGACUUUUUUUUUUUUAACAGAUGAGGUCUCACUCUGUCACCCUGGUGAGGGUGUGGUAGCAUGAACGUAAGCUUACUGACACCUCAACUACUGGACUCAAACAAUCCUCCCACCUCAGCCUCCCAAGUAGCUGGGACUACAGGUAUGCACCACCAUGCCCAGCUAAUUUUUUUUUUAUUUUUUGUAGAGAUGGGGUUUCACUAUGUUGCCCAGACUGGUCUCAAACUCUUGGGCUUAAGAAGUCCUCCCAGCUUGGCCUCUCGAAGUGCUGAGAUUACAGGUGUACUGUGCCCAGCUUGUUUUUAUUUGUCUUGGGUAUCUACCUAGGAGUAGGUAGACACUGCGUCAUAUGGUAACUCUGUUUAACCAUCUGUGGAACUACCAGACUGUUUUCCAUAGAGACUACACCAUUUUACGUAACCACCAGCAAUGAGUGAGGGUUUCAAUUUCUCCACAUCUUUGCCAACACUUGUCAUAAUCAAUCUUCUUGAUUAUAACCACCCUAGUGAGUAUGAAGUGGUGUAUCACUGUGGUUUUGCUUGGCAUUUCUCUGAUGGCUAAGGAUGUUGAGCAUCUUUUCAUGUGUUUAUUGGCCAUUCGGGUAUCUUCUUUGAAAACAUGUCUAUUCAGAUCUUUGCCCAUUUUUAAAUUGGGUUGUUAGUCUUUUUAUUGUUGGUCAUAAGAGUUCUUACAUAUUCUGGAUACAAGUCCCUUUUCAGAUAUAUAAUUUGCAAAUAUUUUCUCCCAUUUUGCACAUUGUCUUUUCACUUGCUUGAUGAUAUCAUUUGAAGUAUAAAAGUUCUUUAAUUUUUGCUCUUUUUUUUCUGUUUUUUUUUUUCUUUUUUUUUUUUUCUUUUUUUUUUUUUUUGUGAUGGAGUCUCACUCUUUCUCCAGGCUGGAGUGCAGUGGUAUAAUCCUGGCUCACUGCAACCUCCGCCUACUGGGUUCAAGUGAUUCUCCUGCCUCAGCCUCCCAAGUGGCUGGGACUACAGGCAUGCACCACCACACUCAGCUAAUUUUUGUAUUUUUAGUACAGACGGGGCUUCACCGUGUUGGCCAGGCUGGUCUCGAUCUCUUGACCUCAUGAUCCACUCGUCUCAGCCUCCCAAAGUGCUGGGAUUACAGGCGUGAGCCACAGCGGCUGGCCUCAUUUUUUUUUUCUUAAGCCCUCCUCUCCCCAAUAUCCAAUUCAUCAUGAAUUUCACUGAUUCUGCCUUAGAAAUAUCUUUGGAAUGCACCCCCACCACCAUUGCCCUAUACAACCCUCUUGUUAUUUCUCACCUGAAUUUAAGUAAUAGCCUCCAAUUCUAUUCUUUUUUCUGCAUCCCCCCACAUCCUACCCGAUUUAUCUUCCAACUGCUUCCAGAAGGAUCUUCUUGAAACACAAAAUGAGCAGGUCAGACCUCUUUUGGUUCCUGGUCUGUACUGUAGCAGUUCUCACAUUCCUCUGAUAAGAAUACCUUGAGCAUUUAAAAAAUUCACAUUACAGGUCAUAAUCUGGACAUGAUAAAUAAGAAUCCCUAGGGGAGGAGUCUGGAAAUCUAGUUUUAAUAACCCCCCAAGUGAUUCUUUUUUUUUUUUUUUUUUUUUGAGACGGAGUCUCACGCUGUUGCCCAGGCUGGAGUGCAGUGGCGCAAUCUCGGCUCACUGCAAGCUCCGCCUCCCGGGUUCCCGCCAUUCUCCUGCCUCAGCCUCCUGAGUAGCUGGGACUACAGGCGCCCGCCACCGCGCCCGGCUAAUUUUUUGUAUUUUUAGUAGAGACGGAGUUUCACUGUGGUCUCGAUCUCCUGACCUUGUGAUCCGCCCGCCUCGGCCUCCCAAAGUGCUGGGAUUACAGGCUUGAGCCCGGCCCCCCCAGGUGAUUCUUAUUCUCAGAAUGGUUUAGCCUAUGGUGCUAAAGGAGGGGUGCGAUUUUGUCCCCCAGAGGACAUUUGGCAAUGUCUGGAGAUAUUUUUGGUUGUCACAACUGGAUGGAGCUGUUACUGUCAUCUAGUGGCAGCAGGAAUGCUGCUAAGCAUCCUGUAAUGCACAGGGCAGCCCCCCUCAACAAAGAAUUACCAGCCUCAGCCGGACACGGUGGCUCACGCCUGUAAUCCCAGCACUUUGGGAGGCUGAGGUGGGCGAAUCAUGAGGUCAGGAGAUUGAGAUCAUCCUGGCUAACACUGUAAAACCCCGUCUCUACUAAAAAUACAGGCGUGGUGGUGGGCGCCUGUAGUCCCAGCUACUUGGGAGGCUGAGGCAGGAGAAUGGUAUGAACACACGAGGCGGAGCUUGCAGUGAGCCGAGAUCGCACCAC